Molecule: long non-coding RNA, 43417 nt
Filed under: Sorghum bicolor (sorghum)
Lineage: Eukaryota; Viridiplantae; Streptophyta; Magnoliopsida; Poales; Poaceae
Description: long non-coding RNA (SBIC_LNC016262)
Source: RNAcentral
ACCUCCACUCUAUCUCUCUCAAUCUAGUAGAAACUAGAAGAUCUAUUUCUACCUUACAUUGGUUGCUAAGCCUAAAAAGAAAUAUUAUUUAGAGAAGAGGUUUUCCUUCGAGGGCACCCCUCAAUCUCUAUGAUAAUUUCUUGUCUCCUCCAGGGCCAGAGGGGGUCUCCUUAUAUAGUCCUCCCCUUCUAUGCGUUUUUGGGUCGAUAGGCGAGGUGGUACUAUGUUAUUCUGGAUCCAAUAGGUCGGUGGAACGUGGUGUGCGAAGAGAGUCCGGAACGGAGUCCAGAGGGGGGCGGGCGCCCAGGUCCUCAGGGCGGGCGCCUUGGGCCUGGCCCCUUUCGGGCUCCGCUUCCUUCCCGUGGCUUCUGGAGUCUUCUAGAUGGUAGAAAAUUGCACGAUGGGUUGAUAUCUCUAUGUAAUCCCGACAUGUGGGCCUUUCUUCCUUAUUUCCUGAUAUCCCCCUGCAGAAAUAGACAAACACCAAAACUCAUGGAAUUCUGUCAGAUAAAACCCUAAGUCUAGAUGUUGAUUUCAUUUGGAUCCUUUUCUUUGUUUAUUUGAUAAUUAAAUUUGAUACUUAAGGACCGUCAACAAACUCCCCCAAGCUUACCUCUUGCUCGUCCCUGAGCAAGGAUGAACUCAAGAGUUUCUGCAGUGGUUUCAUUUCUUAGAAGUACACACGCAUUUAAGCAAGAUCUCAUCUCUGAGUUAGAAUAAACUGUUAAGACUUAAAACUUACUUACUUUACCUACACCAUAGGACUUGUAACCGUCACUUCUGUCUUGAGUGGUUAAAAGAUAGAACAGUCUAGCCAAGUGCCAUGUCUCUUAUUCUUGAUCAGCUAUAGCUCUGGGGUUUUUGCAGAUUUUCAAAUAAAACUCAGAAAUUCCUUGUAUGAUUCUCUCAGGUCUCUCUUUUGUGGUAUUUCUGGAUCCUUACCAAGGCAGUGAUGGUAUAUGCCUUCUCUCAAAAUAUGUGGUAUUUGUGGUAUGAGGCAUAGUGACAUUGUCUUCUCUCUCACCCUACUCUAAUAAGGCUUUAAUAUCUGGAGCUCAUAGGUGGGAGAUAAAGUAUACAUACUUACAAGACAUUUAUUGCAUAGUCAAACCAUGGAUCCAAAGAAACAAAUCAAUAAGCCAAAUCAAGAUGUGCAUGUGUGGCGAAUGAAUGGUGUAUGGUGAUGAUGGUGAUAACAAUGGUGGUGGAAGCCUAAUUCUACUUUGCUCUUUUAAGGGGAUACAUACCUUUCUUGCACUUUGAAGCUUUUUGGGGAGAAUGAGAUGCUCUAUAUUUUCUUUUUCUUUCCUCUCAGGUGGGUAUCUUGUACCCCUAAUUCUACUGUCGGACACUUGUCCAUUUUUACCUCUCGUCUCACUUUUUCUUUUCUUCGAGGUUCCGAGCACUUGCUCCUUUUUAUUUCCUCGUAUCUUUUAUUUUCUUUUUCUCUCUUUUUUUUUCAGAGCAUUCAUCUCUUGAGAUAAUAUAGCAAGUGGUAGUAACAAGAUAACUUGAGCAUUUAUUUCACAAGGGGAAACAGAAAUAUUUUUGGUUAUUCUCUCCCGGAUUAGGAGUAGAAUACUUUUGGGUGGUUUUGGAGAUGGAAAUGAGUGGAUAUAUGUGGAUGGUACUUCCGGAGUAGAAGUAGCAUGUAUGAGUGAACGUGCAAGUGAAUCUUGAUUUAACCACAUGACAAGCUCCUAAGGGUCUACACACCUUGACCACACUCAAUGCUCAUAAGCAGUAAAUAGUAAAUGUGUGGCUCAAGGUCUAGCAAGCAUCUAUAUAUGGCUGUGGUAGGAAUUUAAACUCUCAUCAUACAGGAACUCAUCAUGUGUUAUUUUAAAGAUUUUUCAAAGAUAAAAUUCUCCAGAAUUCUAGCAUCUCUAGAAACAGAUGAACAACAGCUCAACCUUCCCAUAUCGUAUCCGUUAACAACUUAGACUUCAGAUCAAGUUUUCAUCCCACAAGUUUAGGUCUAGAGCAAGCCUUAAAUUAUAACAGAUAUAUCUAAACUUGAGAGAGAACUUCAAAUUUGCAAAUUAGGCAGAGCAACUAUUCAUCAUAUCCAUGCUUAAGUUUUAUUAGAUACCGAUUAGCAUAGCCACUUUAUUUAUUUAUUAAACACACUAAGCAAAAUAUAUAUAAGCAUAAAAUCUUUAUUUGGUUUUUCAUAGUUAUGUGUAUUUAUAUUCUAAUAUAGUAUAAGUACAAAGAUAGAUAGAAAUACUUAUCGAGAUAAAUGGGGGUGCUCUCCCCCAAGCUAAAUUUUGACGUAAUUUCUCUUGAUGUAGCUAGCAGGUGGCAGAGGUGUGUUUGAAAGUCAGCAGUAUUUUGACAGCGAUUAGAAUGUCCUCCGUCUGCUAGUCUUCUUGAUUCUUAAAUUCUGUGGAGCUCAAAUAGACAACAAAGCUUGUGGAACUGGUUAAGUGUUAGCAUAAAUAUCUAGCCUUUAUCAUGUUGAGACUCCUUAAUAAAUAUUACUCCCUGUUUUUAUAUUUUUGUUUUUAUAAAGUAGAAAAAUAUUUAUUUUAUUUUUAUGCCACCACAGUGAAUGUACUUAUGGGUUUUAUGCCACUCGUCUACUCACAUGGGGCUUACAGUUUUUUUUUUACAUUUUUAUUUUCUUUCUAGGAUAAUACGAACAUGAUUAACUAAGUAAACUAUUUGAAAUAAUUAAAAGGGAAAGGAUAACUACCAAGUUUACCUCUUGGCAAGGCGUUGGGUGUUUUUAAGUCCUCCGAGCGGGACUCUCCAUUUUCUUAAUCGUCCUGAGGUUCGUUGGGUGGCGUAGUCGGAACUUCCUGCGGCGCCUCCUCUUCAUUUAUAGUUAUCUUCAUUUUCCAUACCUGACUCGGUGUUAUGGUCUCCUCAGGACAGUUCUGUUCAAGUUGUAUGUCUUCAGUCCUUAUCACUUCUCCUUCGUAGUCUACCCAUCCGUCCUUGAUGAUUUGCCUCCUCUGGUUGCGGUUGCGAUGUCUUCUUCUUGUCCUGACCUGCUUAUAGUCUUCAACUAUAUAGUUAGGGUCAGUAAAACAGCGGCAUACCUUCUCAGAGGAGAAGUGUAUGUGGACUUCUCCGGUUCCAAUAUAGAUGAUGGCUUUGAUAGUGCUGAGGAACUGUCUUCCAAGGAUGGUGGGUGGAUCAUAUUCAUCUUCUCCCAUGUCAAUAACUUGCAAGUCAUCUAUAGCUGAAUGUAUAUUGGUUGUAGGGGCAUGGUUUCAUGCAGGAGCUGAUAAGUGACUACGACCAUUAUGUUGACGUCAGAUCCGGUGUCGUAGAGUGUCUUCUGAAAAGAGUAUCUGUUGAUUCUGCACUCAAUGCUUAGAACACUAGGGUCGUCCUUCUUGAUCAAGAAAGGUGACUUGAGUCGACGAUCUUGACCUCCUUGAACUGCAGUGACCAUCUUAGCUGACUCGGUCCACAUUUGCUUGUUCUUGUUCCUCCUGUUGGUCCUCUUCCUUGGUUGAUGUCGGGGUUGCUCUGAAGUUUGUGUAGUCUUGUUCUUGAAGGAAAGUCUCCUUCUUCCCCUUGAUAUAGAGACUGAUCUUGGCAGCAUUAGCGUAGAUGACAGCUCUAGUGUUUAGGAAUGGCCUCCCUAAUAUGAUUGGUGCCCUCUCCUCACUGCCAGUCUCUAUCACCAUGAAGUCUGCUAUAGCAUACAAGGUACCAACUCGGACACAGAGGUUCUUCAAUAUUUCCUUUGGGAAACUGAGUGUCCGAUCUGCAACCCUGGGCAUAAUGUUGACGCUGGAGCCAAAGUCGCAGAGUGCUUCUGGGAAGUCCACCAUGCCGAUGGAGAUCGGGACGUCCUAGAUCACCUCUCUGAGUAAUUAGGCCUCUGUUGAUUCCAACCUUGAUGUUGUUGAGGACGGUUGUAGUAAUAGUUGUUAUUGUUGUUGAUGUAGUUCACGUCCUCAAGCAUCUUAGGGCAGUGAUUGCCUGAGCGUCCAGUAUCUCCAGUGUGUUUAUGCUCGUAGAUCCUAGUUCUUCACUUGGUGGAAUCUGGGAGUUGUAAAACUCCUUCAUAUUAUGCUCGAAGUGUUCCUACUCAUAGAAACAAGGUAGAGAUCAAGUGCAUGGGCCCUGUUGGUGGAAAACACCAACAGAACCAAAAGUGUAUUUGUUCUUCUCUAACCUUAAGCAUAGUGAGCAAGACAAAGUUGAUGGAUCAUGAGUGUAGCAUUUGUCAGAUCAGAUGGCUCAACCUAAUGGAAAGAUAAUCUAUCUAUAUUUAUGUUUUGUUUAUAUCUUCCAAAGAUUGCAUGUGCCAUACUUUAGCUUAUAUAAUUAGGAGUGUGGGGUCACGAAGGUAGUACUAAGAACAAAGAUUAAAGGACUAAACAUGUUGAAUUAAUUGAGUUGGUUAAUUUGGAGUCAUAAAUCAUACAUGUUUGUCUCUUUAUUUAUGUGAAUGCCAGAACCAAGGAGGAGCUUAUAAAAGUGUUAGUCAAGUACCUUAAGAUGUUACCUUACUUGAAGAGUGAUGGUACAGUAUCACCUUGUGGAAGCUUUCCUUUCUUAGCGGUUGUGCAUCGUGUUUGUGGCACCCUCCAUGAAUCAUCUCUUAUGAGCUACGUCUUUCUUGUGCAAAUUGUUAAACUUCAUGUGUCACUUUCUUCAUCUCUAAUGAGUUUGCAUCUCAAGACUUCCCAGGUUGUUAUUGAAAGUUUUCCUACAGGGGUUAGUCCAACAAAAUAUACCAAUAUCUACUCAAGCAGUUUUUAGUUCAGUAACCAAACUAGACUCCAUGUCUAAUCAGAUUAAGGAAGGCUAUUUAACCUAAGCACCACGCUUAAUUUAAAUGCCAUUGGAAGUGUGACCAGUACUUCCAAACUAACACUUACUAGGAUAAACAAAGGUAGCAUGAUGGCUUUUAUAGAGAUCUACUCAAGUGGUGAUGAAGUAGUGUGAUUAGUAUUUAACAAAUUGAGCAUGUCUCAAAGGUAAGGACAACCAACAUAGCAACAUGGCAAAGGAUGUUUUAUGUAAAGUACUCCCCCAAGCUUGAAUUUUGCAAAAUUCAAGAUUGAAUGAAUUUAAUUUAAUGUUGCAUGAUGAUUGGUUGGGCAUACCUUGCGCUUGUCAUUCAUCCGAUCUUCUUGCUCCAAUCCUAGAAAGGUUAGUGGCAAGAAUACCCGAAGGAAUAUUUCUACAAUUAUCUUUAUAUGCUCAAUACACAAGGCAAUGUUGCAAAUAAUUAGAAGUGCUUGUUUUAGGACACUAAGCUUCUCCUUGGGGAACCAUCAAUUAACUCAACGAGAUCUGCAAUAUUUAUUAUAGACAUAUGCAUCGACAACCGCCCUUUUAAAGUUUUUAUAAAUAGAAAAGAAGAGGGGGUUGGAGAUCUCAAAUGUGGUAAGGAUGGAGAGACAAAUUGAUUGGAGAGAUGUUUUAUAUGAGCAAGGACUGGGUGAGGUAUUUAUGAAAUAACUUCCAUGCUCACUGUUGUUUCUCUUAUUCUCAAUCUCCAAUGAUGAUUCUUCAUGAAUGCUUAAAAUUCCUCUAGGAUUGUCUCUCAAGUUUGUUUUAUCUAUCCAUUCAAUGGUGAUAGCACAUGGAUUUUUAAUGCCCUCUAGCCAUUGAUGUUGCUCUUCUCGAUCCUCCUUGCGGUCUUGGUGACUUUUAUGCAUGGGCUGUCUAGAUAGAUUCAUAGGAUCAUCGGGAGGUUCAAGAGAAAGAGCAUAGUAGAAAUUAUUAAGUUCAAGGAUGGGUUGGAUAGCCGAAUCAUGGGAUUGGAAUGUUUGGAAAUCGGCUAUUGAAACUUCCUUUCCUUGUCUGGGAGAUGAUUCCUUCUCUAUCUCUAAGAUUUUUCUAUGAAGACUAAUGCAAGAAGGAUGUCCACAAAUGAAGACAUACCUUCCUUUACUAAUAGAUAAAGAAAGAAAGACUCUACCAAAUGUUAUAUGAUUAAGACCAAUAUGAAAAUAUCUAGGAAAAACAUGGUCUUGUAGGGCUAGGUCUAAACCAGAAUUUAUAGAAAGAUUAAUAGAUUCCCUAGGUGUAGCUAAAAGUGCAUUAUCUUUUUGAUUAAAAGAUAGGACCUCGGCUAUAGAAAAGGGUUGGUUUUGACCUAUUGCAAUCAACUCCGGACACAGAUCAUAAUUAGGGGCAGGACGUGUUGACUCCCAUGGUCUAUGGCUGGUCUCCAAAGGUGCAAAGAAUUCAAUAAUAGGUAUGGAAUUUGAGUUAUCCAUAAAAAUAAAAAUAAAAAGAUAAAAGAAUAAAAGUAUAAAAGUAUAAUACAAGAUAAUAGCAAGACUCAAAGUUAUCUCAGCAAACCGUCUUUAUCCCCGGCAACGGCGCCAGAAAUGCUUGUUGAUAUUUGGUAACGCAAUUAGAAAAUGAUCCGCAAGCGCACGGAUAUCGGUGAGCAUUUCACCCGGGAGGUUAUCCAGAGUUAUCGUAUUUAUAUUUUUACCACUGGGAGAAAGGGUGCAUCUGACUAACCAAAUCUAUUGCUACUACCCCUUUAGGCUACAAAGAAUGUCUCUCGAUGUGAGUGAUGUAUAGAGAAGACUACAACCGUAGUCUCGUUCUAACCUUGGUAAGGAUGAUCUACUGUUCUAUUGGGGAGGCUCACGGAAUCUAGACAACACAAAGGAUGUUCGACCCGCACCUAUAAACCUACCCGUCCUGCUAACGAGAUGUGAUCUGCAAAGGUAACUCGGAAUUGUCACGUUCCUCGCUACUACCACGGUCCAGCUAGUCAGGGGAUAUCUAUGAGUACCCUAGCCUAAACACCACGUUUACGCUAACAAGUGAUUACUCUAAUACUCAACCGGAAGAGGAUUAAAGUAAACUCAUAAACCAAAGAACGAUAAAACAAGAACUUACUAGUAUUAGAAGUCGAAUUACUGAAGAAUCUUAGAAGCAAGCCUCGGGUUAGGAGACUUGAUCUCGCAGGUACAACUCGGAGCAGACACCGACAGGCCGGCCUUCCUCCGAUCCACACCUCCACUCUAUCUCUCUCAAUCUAGUGGAAACUAGAAGAUCUAUUUCUACCCUACAUUGGUUGCUAAGCCUAAAAAGAAAUAUUAUUUAGAGAAGAGGUUUUCCUUCGAGGGCACCCCUCAAUCUCUAUGAUAAUUUCUUGUCUCCUCCAGGGCCAGAGGGGGUCUCCUUAUAUAGUCCUCCCCUUCUAUGCGUUUUGGGUCGAUAGGCGAGGUGGUACUAUGUUAUUCUGGAUCCAAUAGGUCGGUGGAACGUCGUGUGCGAAGAGAGUUCAGAACGGAGUCCAGAGGGGGGCGGGCGCCCAGGUCCUCAGGGCGGGCGCCCUGGGCCUGGCCCCUUUCGGGCUCCGCUUCCUUCCCGUGGCUUCUGGAGUCUUCUAGAUGGUAGAAAAUUGCGCGAUGGGUUGAUAUCUCUAUGUAAUCCCGACAUGUGGGCCUUUCUUCCUUAUUUCCUGAUAACCCCCUGCAGAAAUAGACAAACACCAAAACUCGUGGAAUUCUAUCAGAUAAAACCCUAAGUCUAGAUGUUGAUUUCAUUUGGAUCCUUUUCUUUGUUUAUUUGAUAAUUAAAUUUGAUACUUAAGAACCGUCAACACCCCAGUCCAGUCAACCAAAGAGAAAAGGUUCCAAGAGUACCAGAUCACACGCAAAGCGCCAGAGAACAACAACGCCUUCUCCUCCCCCAGUAUCUCCAAUCCCAGUAGAAUCGUCCCCUUCUCCUCUAGAAGCCCAGAUACAACCAGCACUGUCUCCCCUUCAACCACAAGAAGAAACCCAAACAGAAGAAGUCCAACCAGAAGAACCUCAGCCAGAAAAACCUCAGCCAGAAGAAACAUCGGCUGAUGUACACGAGCAGACUGCCGAUCCAGCAAGCUUAAUCAUAGCAUCGGUAGUUUCCUCGAUUCAGACUAAUACUGCACCUCCUCAAGGUAACAUACUUUUUAUUUAUUGCCGAUGAACCCACCUUUUCCAAUUUGUAAUUACCUCUGUUAAUCUUUCAGCUGACAUAGUCUCAUCGGCAAUCCCAGCCGAUCAACCUGUGGUUCCAUCGGCUUCAACUAGUCAGAGGCGAGAGAUAGCUUCGAAGCAAGUAAGUUACCCGAUCCUUAUUUUUAUUGUUAUCAGUACUUAAUCAUAAAAUAACUUAUUCUGUCUUCUUUUCCAGGAACAGGAUUCUCCCGAUAGCCUGUUCUCCUUUGCCAUCGACAUCUCUAAGGAUAAAGGUGAGGAAGCAAGUUCUUCUCGAGUAGUUGGAAUCUCAUCGGCAGAGAUUAGAGCAAAGCUGGUGGAUCUGUCAGCCCUUCUCCAUCAAGAUACAGCGCAAUUGGUCGAUGACUCUGAUCCAGCCAAAGUUCUGUUCAAGGCUCUCAGAGGUCAAAUCCCUACCGAUGCCGAGGAGGUUCUUUUUCAGGAUGCACACUUAGAGAGUCGUCAGCUGCAGUAUCAAAAGGCUGCCCAGCGUCUUGCCGAUAGAGCUGCUCACACUCAGCUCUCAAAGGAGAUGAUGAAAGUGAAGCUCCUUGCCAAUGAGAAGCAUAAGAGCAUUGGCAUUCUGAAAUCCUCAGGAGAUGUACUGAAGCAAAAGAUCUCUGAUCUAUCGGCGAGAAGGGAAGCUCUGUUGGCUGAACUCAGACAAGUGGAAGAAGCUCUGUCUCAAGCUCAACAGGAAGAAAGCCAACUGCCUAAAGCAAUCAAGACUGUUGAACAAGAGCGAAACAUCCAGGUUCAUAAAGCACUGCAGAUGAAGAAGAAACUAAAGCCAGUGGAAGGCUCUGCUGAUGAUGACGUGAAGGAGAUAAAAGAAGCCAACCAGAUCCGUCUGCGCGCCAUAUCGACGAUCCAGGCUCUGCAAAACAUGUGAACUCUUCAUCGGCGGCGUGCUUUGCUUCUUUCUUCUAAUCAUUUUGGUCCAGUCGAUAGGACUGUUAUCGGCAUCCUUCUAAAACAUUAAUUCUGGCCCCAUAUAUACUUUUAGUUCAACCGAUAGGAAUGUUAUCGGCACUUAAACUUUCAUGCAUCAAGCCAUAUGCUGGGGUAAUAUCUCUUUAAAUAUUUGUCGUUCAAUGCUCUGGGAAUUUCAACUCCUUCGAGAGUUUCUAAGAUAUAGGCGUUGCUAGGAGCAGAUCGAUUUAUCCGAUAGGGACCUUCCCAAUUGGGAGACCACUUCCCAAAUUUUGAACUUUUCGUCCCGAUCGGUAAGAUUAGUUUCCAUAGUAAGUCUCCAUCGGCAAACUCCUUAGCCUUUACCUUCUUGUCAUAUCAUCUGGCAACUCUCUUCUUAUUUUCUUCUAUACUUAUCAAAGCCCUUAGCUGAUGUCCUGCUAAAUCAUCCAACUCGUCUGUCAUCAAAGUAGCAUAAUCAUCAGCAGCCAAUUGAUCUUGAAAAGAUACUCGCCUAGACCUAGUUUUAAUUUCCCAAGGUAGCACUGCAUCAUGUCCAUACACCAACUGAUAAGGUGAAACUUUGAUCGACCCAUGACAAGACAUCCUAUAUGACCAUAAAGCUUCAUUCAACAACGUAUGCCACCUCCUAGGAUUCUCUUCAACCUUCCGUUUAAUAAGUUUGAUAAUUCCUUUGUUAGAUGCUUCGGCCUGCCCAUUAGCUUGAGCAUAAUACGGAGAAGAAUUUAAUACUUUAAUUCCCAUACCAAUUGCAAACUUAUCAAACUCCCCUGAUGUAAACAUUGUACCCUGAUCGGUAGUAAUUGUUUGAGGAAUUCCAAAUAGGUAAAUAAUAUGUUCCUUCACAAAAUCAAUCAUAUUGGCCGAUGUGACUUUCUUCAAAGGAAUAGCUUCAACCCACUUGGUGAAAUAAUCGGUGGCAACCAAGAUGAAUUAUGUCCUUUGCUUGAUGGUGGGUAAAUUUGGCCGAUUAGAUCAAUAGCCCAUCCCCGGAACGGCCAAGGUUUAAUAAUGGGAUUCAUGGCCGAUGCGGGUGCCCUUUGAACACUGCCAAACUUCUGACAUCCUUGACAUCCCUUGAAAUAUUUAAAGCAAUCUUCAAGUAUGGUUGGCCAAUAAUACCCAUUCCUCCUAAUCAUCCAUUUCAUCUUAAAAGCUGACUGAUGUGCUCCACAUACUCCUUCAUGGAUUUCUCCCAUUAAACUUCUAGCCUCAUCAUCACCUAAGCAUUUGAGAAGAAUUCCAUCAAUUCUUCGAUAAUAUAAUUCAUCUUCGAGGAGCACAUACUUGGUGGCUUGAAACCUAACACGUCUCUCAACUUUCUUGGAUGGGUCCUUUAAAUAAUUAACGAUUUCUUUUCUCCAAUCAUCAGCAAUGAUUGCCGAUAUUGAGUUUAACAUGGGCUGAUAUCCCAAGGCAUGCUGAGCCAACCGAUUAGCCUCUUCAUUAUGCAAUCGAGGAACAUGCUCUAAUCGGAAAUCCCUAAAUUCCUUUAACAAUUGCAUACUCCUUUCGUAGUACGUUAUUAAGACCUCACUCCGGCAUUCAUAACUUCCACCUAAUUGAUUUAUAACCAACAUAGAAUCCCCGAAGAUUUCAACAGCGUCAGCACGAACCUCUUUCAACAACUCCAACCCCUUGAUUAAGGCUUGAUACUCAGCUUGAUUAUUCGUCGACGUGGCAACAAUCGGCAAGGAGAAUUCAUAUUUCCUUCCCCGAGGGGAAAUUAACACUAUGCCGAUUCCUGCCCCCCGAUCACACGUGGAUCCAUCAAAGAAGAGCGUCCAAGGCACAAUUUCCAAAGUUUCCACUGCACCGCAAUGUUGAGUUACAAAAUCGGCCAUAAUCUGUCCUUUAACCGCUUUAGCUGAUUCGUAACGCAGAUCGAAUUCCGACAGUGCCAAAAUUCACUUACCGAUCCUACCACUCAUGAUCGGCAUAGAUAGCAUAUACCGGACCACAUCAUCUUUGCAUAUAACAGUGCAUUCAGCCGAUAAUAAAUAAUGCCUCAACUUAACACAUGAGAAAUAUAGACACAAACAUAACUUUUCAAUGGCCAAAUACCUGGUCUCAGCAACAACCAAUCUUCUGCUUAAACAGUAAACUACACGCUCCUUCCCUUCAAAUCCUUGAAUCAAAGCUGAACCGAUGACCAUCCCAUCGGUAGAUAAAUACAAUCUGAAGGGUUUUCCUUGCUGAGGUGGAAUCAGAACCGAAGGAUUUAUCAAAUAAUUCUGGAUUUCAUCUAAAGCCACCUGUUGCUCUUUCCCCCAUACAAACUCUUGAUCAGCUUUCAGUUUGAGUAAAGGACUGAAAGCACGAAUUUUACCAGACAAAUUAGAUAUAAACCUCCAGAUUAAAUUUACCUUGCCGAUCAAGGACUGGAGCUCAGUUUUGUUGGUAGGAGCAACUAUUUUGUUGAUAGCAUCAAUGGAUCUCCUACUAAUUUCAAUCCCCCUUGGAUGCACCAUGAAACCAAGGAAUUGUCCUGCCGAUACACCAAAUGCACACUUGUUAGGGCUCAACUUCAAACCAUGCUUCCUUGUACAUUCCAACACCCUUCGUAAAUUGGCAAGAUGUUUUGUGAAAUCUCCAGACUUAACCACCACAUCGUCAAUAUAAAUUUGCACCAGUUUGCCGAUGAACUCAUGAAAGAUAAAAUUCAUAGCCCUCUGAUAAGUAGCACCAGCAUUCUUCAAGCCAAAGGUCAUGACUAUCCAUUCAAACAACCCAACAUGACCAGGACAUCUAAAUGCAGUCUUUGGAAUAUCAUAUUCAGCCAUGAAUAUUUGAUUGUAUCCUGCAUUGCCAUCCAUAAAGCUGAUGAUCCGAUGCCCAGUCGCACCAUCAACUAGCAGAUCGGCAACCGGCAUUGGGUAGCCAUCCAUUGGAGUAGCUUUAUUAAGAUUCCUGAAAUCAAUGCAAACCCGAAGCUUCCCAUUUUUCUUGUAGACUGGAACAACAUUGGAAAUCCACUCGACGUACCGACACUGCCGAAUAAAUUUAGCUUCAAUAAGUUUGGUUAUUUCGGCCUUAAUGCCAGGAAGAAUAUUAGGAUUACAUCGGCGAGCUGGCUGUUGAUGUGGCCGAAAUCCAGACUUGAUGGAUAACCGAUGUUCAAAAAUCGAUCGGUCCAAACUAGGCAUCUCAGUAUAAUCCCAAGCAAAGCAAUCUUUAUAUUCCUCUAACAAAUCGGUUAACUGCUGCUUACACUAAGAAUUUAACUUAGCACUAAUAAAUGUAGGUCUAGGUUUAUCACCACUACCUAUAUCUAUUUCUACCAAAUCAUCGGCCGAUGUGAAUCCCUGGCCUAAUUUUCCAUCAUCGGCGAACCUAUCCAUUAAAACUCCUCAUCAGAACCGACUGCUUGGAUCGGUGGAAUUUCAUAAUCGGCAACUUUAAGGAAAUCCUUCUCCCAAAUCUCUCCCAAGAUACACCUAGUUUUUUCAUAGGUAUCUGCCUCUGCCGAUGCAAUGACAUAAGAAGAAUCUCCCGGGACAAUCUCAAUCUUGUCACCUACCCACUGAACCAAGCAUUGGUGCAUCGUAGACGGGAUGCAACAAUUGGCGUGAAUCCAAUCUCUCCCUAGCAGCAAAUUAUAGGCACCUUUUCCACUGAUUACAAAGAAAGUUGUCGGCAAGGUUUUGCUGCCGAUGGUCAACUCGACGCAGAUUGCUCCCUUAACCGGAGACACAUUUCCUUCAAAGUCUUUCAGCAUCAUAUCGGUCUUGGUCAAAUCUUGAUCUCCUUUUCCAAGCUUACGAUAGACUGCAUACGGCAUGAUGUUGAUUGCAGCUCCACCAUCAAUUAAUAUCUUGGUCAUCGGCUGACCAUCAACUCUUCCUUUGACAAACAGAGCCUUAAGAUGCUGCCUUUCAUCGUCGGAAGGCUUUUCAAAGAUAGCUGUCAUCGGAUCCAGAGCCAACUGAGCUAUCUGGUCGGAAAACUCCAACACCUCAUCAUUACUAGACAGCGCAAGGAUUUCCAUCGGCAACAUAAAUACCAUGUUAACAUCUGCCGAUGGCCCUUUCCCCUUACGAUCCGAUUGUUGUUGAUCCCCAGACUGGCCAGAGUUCUCGUCUUUACUUAGCUCUUCUCAUCUUUCGCGUUGCAGUCUCCUCUUUUGUGUCUCAGUCAACCCCUCUGGACACCAUGGGGGAAAUGGUGACUACCUUGCCGAUGGACGACGAUGUUCCCUUGACUCUAUCCGAUGAGUAUUUGCGUCUCUACAAAAUAUGAAUUCAUCGUUAACCCGUGCAUUGGCCAUUUCUUCAAGAUCUUCCUGGUUCCUAGGAAAACAUUCAACACGAUCACCAAGCCUAUCGUGUACACUGAGUCUGCCCCCAGCCGAUCAUGAGCUGACGCUCUCCCCCUAAUCGGUCCAUUAAAUCGCCGAUCAUCAUUGUGAUAGCGCCGAUCAGAUCUGUCAUACCGAUCAUAACCAUUGCAUUCAAGGCAGUCCCUAACAGUGGGUAAUUUAAUGUUCUGCUCCCAGCAAUGGAUAAAGAAUGGGCAGUUCCAGUGAUCCUUGUGCCGAUUCCACUCCUGUUGGUGUCUUUCUUCUUCCCUACGAUAGUCUUCUUGCUGGCGCCGAUACCGAUCCUCACGUUGCUGCCAAGUCUCCCAAGGCCUUCUAUGAGUGAUCACAAUACCAGAUCGGGGAGGCCUUCCCAAGUUAGUUCCUUCUUGGAUCAAGCCUUUUCCUUUGCCAUCGGUAGCAGUAAUUUGAUGCUGAGGAUCUAUAGAUGCACUCCUUUCAGCUGCUUCCGACGUCAAGACCUUGGUCUUUUCCUUAGCAUCCAACAUAUUUGUUGGGAAAGGGUGUUGAUCGAUCUUCAUCGGCUUCCGAUCUUAGGAACUAUCAAAUUUGAUUCUCCUAGAUUCAAUAGCCGAUUGCAGCUAUUGCCUAAAAACUUUGCACUCAUUGGUGCCGUGAGAGGUUGCAUUAUGCGACUUGCAGUAUUUCAUCUUCUUUAAUUCUUCGGCCGAUGGAAUAACAUGAUUAGGCGACAAUUUGAUUUGCCCUUCCUAAAGUAGAAAGUCAAAUAUCCUAUUGGCUUUAGUGAUAUCAAAUGCAAACUUCUCUGGCUCUUUAUGUCCAAAAGGGCAAGACAUCGACUUCUUAUUUUUCACCCAUUCUGCCAAGCCGAUGACUGGCUCUUCAUCUGAAUCUGAGCUUGCUGCCUCAUCAACAAAUGACACCUUUUUGUUCCAAGCUCUCUUAGGUUCAAAGGGCUUAAUAUCCUGGAAAUCCUUUGGACCAAGUGACUCAGACUCUCAAACUCUUGAGAAGCAUAUUUGUCCCUGAUAUGUGGCAACAAACCUUGGAAAGCCAAAUCGGCUAGCUGCCGAUCAUCUAAAACCAGACUAUAGCAUUUAUUCUUGACUUCCCGCAACCUCUGCACAAAACUUUCAACCGACUCAUCAUUGCGUUGUUUCAACCUGACCAAAUCGGUAAUCUUCUUCUCAUGGACUCCAGAAAAGAAGUACUUGUGGAACUGCUUCUCCAAAUCUGCCCAAGUAAUCACUGAAUUAGGAGGCAAUGAUAUAAACCAGAUGAAAGCCGAUCCAGAUAAAGAUGAUGAAAACAGUCGAACCCUUCAUUCAUCCCUGUUAGCAGCUUCCCCACAUUGGAUGAUAAACCUGUUGACAUGUUCCAUAGUCGAUGUAUCAUCCUGCCUAGAAAACUUAGUGAAAUCUGGUACCUUGUACCGAUUUGGAAGUGCAAUUAAAUCGUAUGCAAGAGGAUACGACGUCCGAUAAGAGUAAGUGUUGACUUUGGGUUUUAUCCCAAAUUGGUCUCUCAUUACUUCAGCAAUCUUAUCGGCCCAAUAAGCAUCGGCAUCUUGCCGAUGGGGUGGUUGUGGAUCUACCGCCUGCUGAUAAACAUCCACGUGUCGCUGAGGCGCACGAUCUGCAUGGAACAUGGGAUUGAUCGUCUGACCACCAAACUGUUGACCAAGAUUCAUCGGCUGGUUGGCCAACCCUUGAUUCUGGAACCCAGGUUGGAUCUGGCCUUGUUGAAACCCCGAAGCCUGAUGAUUCUGUUGAGGCAUUUGUGGAAAGACUAACUGCCCCGUCCAUCCACUGUUAGCAUUCAUCGGCAUGAAUCCUGCCGAUGGCUGAAGAUUGGGCAUCAUCAUUUAAUUGCCACACCCUGGUUGUGUCAUAGACCUCUGCUGCAUCGGGAUUGAAUCUGCCGAUGCGUUAGGCAUCUGAAACGUUGAAGCUUGAGAAUUCCCAGCGUAAGGUCUUGCAGUAGUAGUUGUAGUAUACUGGGAACUCUGAUUCAUCGGCAAAUUUGGAGGUGCCGAUGCCAUAGGAGCCUUGCCUCUCGUGUCAGCCGUCUCAGAUGUUCUAGGAGUCUUCAACAUCAUCUCUGGGGGCAUACCAUAACCCCACCAGUUGGGAGGAACGGACCCCGACAUCGCCGAUGCCAAUAGAUUUGUGGUAAGCUUGAUCUGCACAUCUGAAGUUGAGGAUUGGUCGUCAUCGGCGUAGAUUGCACAUUAGUGAGCCCUAAUGUGCUUGGAGGAGUAGUAGUUUCUGUACCCACAUCGGCCGUAGUAGCCGAUGGAGCUGUGACAACUGGUGAUCCUGACUGAUGAUAGACAGGGCCCACAUAAUUUGGUGGCAAUUGUCCCUCUUUGAAAGUUCUGGCCACGGCGUUGAAAACCGUGUUGGACAGCACACCAGCUUGGUUCAUCAAGGCACGGUUGAUAGCAUUGUCAACCAUGUCUUGGAGUUUACCAGGAUUGGCUUCAAAAGUGACCUGCCAAGGUGCCGGCAGUGCUUCCUUCUGGAUUACUUCGCCGCUCCUGUUGAUACAGAAGGACUUCAAACAUUGCUGCUUGUAAUCCUCCAUAGCUUUUGCAAUAGCUUGCUUCUGCUCAUCUCUGAGAUUGGCUUCCGUCACGGGGAUAACGUUCUCCAAGUCGAACUCGGUAGUCGACAUGUCGAUCUUGAUCUUGAGUCUGGUCCCACUGGGCGUGCCAAAAGAUGUGUUGAUGCAAAAGCUGAUCUGCAAACACAAAGGGCUAAUACCCGAUUUAAACGUUAAGGCGUGCCAGCCGAUCUGACCUUACUAUCGGCAAAGGUGAUAACUCGAAUACUUUGGUCCCGACAACAGCGAUACACCCGGAUGUCACGGCCAAGAGGUAUUCACGCGGAACUCGAGAAUAUGCCGAGCUUAAGUCGACGAACUCCUAAGAACUCGUAAUAAAAAGGAAAAAUAUGACGAAGUCGUCGAAAAAGUAGAUGCCGGAAUAUGAGUAAAAACUUGUGUUUGAUUGAUUGAUAGAUAUCUCAUUACAAGGCCCUAGGGUCUACAUUUAUACCCUGCUCAAAGAGCUACAAUCAGACACGACUAGGACUCGAAUUCCAAAUUAAACAGAAUCUGUAUACAAAACGAAUUUAAAUAACUAAGGAAAACAUAAAACUACCCCCUUGUAACCGACCAGGACACCACCACAGAUCGAUCGGCAAUCUCCAUGCUUCCCUUCAGAGUCAUCGGCAGCCUUUCUGUUAUGGCCAUCGGCAAACACCGACAUUGAUCAUCGGUAAGAACACGUCACCACCUCUGGACUUAGUCAUAUUCAAUCGUCUCUUCAUCAGCAACUAUCCUCAUCGGUAACUCUUCUGCAGACUAGUUACCGUUGCUCCACCUGCCGAUCUAUACUCCACAGGUCCCUGGGUACGUGUCCAAAAACGGCAUCAAUAGUCAUAAAUUGCAAAUUAAAGUAUUAUAAGUUUCUAAUUUUGAAUAAAGAAAUUAAAGUAACAAAAAAUAAUUUCUCUAAACAAGCAAAAUUAAAAAAGCACAAAAAUUCUCUAUUUUUCUAAAUAAUCAUGAAAUGUGAUAUGCAUACUAGUUAUAAUUAACUAAUUAAAUUGGUCAAAAAUUGUAAAUUAAAGUAUUAUAUAUUUUAAUUUUUUUCUAAACUAAUUAAAAUAAAAAAACAUAUUAUUACUAUUUCUCUAAAAAAAUGCGUCGCUGUUGACAAGACGAUGAAGCUAAUAACCUCUUAAAAAACCAUAAAAUAAAAAACAACAUACAUAACACUAGAAAAUGACAUAUGCCACUGCUAAUUGUUGAGAAGAUGAAGCUAGUGACCUCUUAACAAGUCGACGACGGUGUAGAAAUGAUGAAAUGAAUCAACAGCCGGAGAUGAGAGCAAGAACAAGCAACUCCAAAUGAAGAAUACAACAAAAGAGUAAAGAUCGAUGGGCUCGGCCAGGGGAAGAAGAGUUCAAAUAUGGGGAAGGACAUUUAGUCUUGGUUCUAUUUAAAAACCGGGUGUAAAUUCCAACACUCGUCCUGGCCGGUGAGACGGACCGGGACAACAGCUUUUAAUCCCGGUUGGUGUUACCAAUCGGGACUAAAGGCAGGACUUUUGUCCCGGUUCCUGAGACCAACUGGGACUAAGGGUACCCUCUGCCGAUCUCUGACACCAUAGCCGUUGGGCAGGGGACUUUUAGUCCCGGUUGGUCUCAGCAACCGGAACUAAAUAUGUUUUCGUCCCGGACGCUGGUUGGGCCGAGAUUAUUGUUCAUUUUGGGUAAGUAACCAAAGGCCUGUUCUGUAGUAGUGAUGUUCGGCUUAUCCCUAUGUUUUUCUAAAAUCACUUUGCCACUUUCUCAAGCUUAAUUUUUUUUUAUGUUUAGAGUUUCCCAAAAUAUCUUUCUCCCAAUUCAAAUAAUCCAUUUGAGAUCAUUGCACAUCAAAUUAUCUCUAAUAUAUAUCUUCACCGGAAAUAUUCUGAAUUCUGCUAAAACUUUUUCCAACAUAUCCAAGGAAACUCAUAUUUAUUGGACUCCACAUGCUUUAUUUGGGCUAUUUUGCUUGACGUGAUGACACGUAUUUACAUUCCAAAAGGAGCAAUCGACCAGGCCUUGUCCUUCAUGGUUAAAGAUCACAUCGUCCGCUUCAUCAUAAAGUAAUCAAUCAUUUAUAUAAUAUUAUAUAUAUAUAUAAAUAUGUAUAUGACAUAUAUAUAUAUCAAUCUCUAUGAAACGCACACGCCGGAAAUUCUAUAUUUAUCUAGUCGUAUCUGACUAUAAAUAGCAUCUAACGUUUCUUUUGCAAACCCUUGAAAAUAAGGCAAUUGAUUAUGAUCCACGCCGCCGCACACAACAUCUGAGCUAGCAAGGCCGCCGGCUGUGUUCCUGCCGAUCUCCAACAUGGGUGCGUGUCGAGGAUAUCAGUAAGGGGUACCUCAACUGAUGUCCAUGCCGAGAUUGUCCAUACACAAAUCGAGGCCUCCCAAUCGACGCCUUGUCCAGUUGCGCAUACGAUCGUCGACGACCGCAGCCUCAAAGACGGAAAGGGCGUCGAGCGAAUCAACCAGAGCUCGAGCGCAGGCUACCGUCGAAUACGGAAACAGGCUUGAGCGAGUCGGAGGGCGUCGAGCGUAAGGACGCCGCUCGCCGCCUGACACGGGCACGGGAACCAGGGCAUUUAAUGCGCCUGUCGUGUUCUCACCUAACACGCAAGUCACGGGAAGCGUGAUAGGGAACAGGCACCCGUCCCGUCAUUCUUUUUGCAGCCUUCCCCACCAAACAAUCCAGAGCAUGUGAGGACGCAGGAAACAAGGUCGGAACGUCUAAUCAAGACCCCCUCGAGACGUCCAAGGUCAGCGCUCCGGCUAGCAAGGCAUUACACGGCGUCCGACCCUCGACCAGACGCGUUUCCUUCCUGAGGAAGGGUUGGGCAUCGAAUGACAACUCCACAACUACUCCGACGUAUCUGCCGCCAUGACGUACAGGCGUGCGACAGAUAAACCAGCCCAAGACGGCGCACAGAGCAGGAUACAGGGGCACGCGUAAUCAUCAUCAAGCUACCCGGACGGGACGGCUCGAGACCACGCCGGUACGGAGGCCUCGAGUAGGUCAGCGCGCCAUACCUCUAUCGACCCCUACUCUGACGCCCAUACUUGUACCCUAGGCUUCUCCUUGGAACUAUAAAAGGGGAGGCCCGGGAAAAGAUACAGGAUCAGGCGAUACAACACUCACACAUAGUGGAGCUUCCAUACUCCAUCCCAGUUCAUACACGCUUGUAUUCACCCCUGUAAAAGCACUUAGGUGCAAGAUAAUAUAAACUCUCCUCCCCCACUGGACGUAGGGCCUUCUCUCGCCUGAACCAGGAUAAAUCUUUGUGUCUUCUUGCAUCACCAUCUGGAAAAGGGAACACGCAAACAAAUUUACUCGUUGGUGAGACCCCCCAUGGGGAAAACACCGACAGUUGGCGCGCCAGGUAGGGGUCCUGCGUGUUUUUCACUGAUUUCCCAUUCUUUUCCAGAUGGCCUCUCUCACUUCGCUGAUUCCGCGCUCCACGGUGAUUUGGUUUGGGAGUCCUGAGUUCAUGUCUACUGGCUCCGGCUAUGACAUGAUCUUGCUCUCGAUUAAAGGACCGGGAGGAGCCCGCGUUGCGCCAGCACGGUCGAGGGCCCCGAGAUGCCCUCGCCAUCACGCCUCCCCGCCCAAGAAGAGGCGUGGACAGCACCAUCGUUGCCUUUCUGCCUCGUCACGACCGAUAGUUCGUGCCAGGUGGGAGGGGACAUAGGAGCCGACAGCACCGCGCGCCGGAACUGUGAGCUGGACGGCUCAGCGCCGCAAGGAUCAAACGACGACAGGAGGUGACGCGCCCCGCGUGCUCUCCCCCACCGCUAGGUUACUGCCACAUGGGCUGUUCGCUCCAAGAAGAGCGUUGUCGUUUGGUUUGGACAAUGUCGCGGCGUCGCUCGCUAGGGCAGUAUGUCCAAACGCCCAGACGUACGUGGAGAGACCAAUGGUCCUCCCACGCGCGCCUGGAUCACCGCGACCGACGUGCGAGCUGCCAGAUUUCUCCCAGGUGCGAGGCCUCCGCCGCCUAGGCCCUGGGCGAUACACGAUUACCUCUCUCAGGCAGCGGCUGCUGGAGGAAGGACGCGGAUGCUUCUACGCCGCCGAGUCGGACUCCGGCUUGGAAUCUGACAGCUAUGACCCUACUAGGGAGUGCUUCCAUAUCGACAGACCACCGACGAGACACAGGAGGCUGUUGCAGGCGGUCGAGCCCCUGCAGCAAGGGAAGACCCCAGGACGCCCGGGAACGACGGACAAAUCGACCCACUUCCACAGGAAGACAGAGCCGCGAAACUUGCGCAGCUACGAGAGCUCAAGACGAAACUUGACGAAGAUCGUGAGCGCCUCAUCCUGCUCGAGCAAAUCCUUGAACAGGACCUGCCUUACCCGCCUGGCGGAAGCGUCCGCAAACGGGCUCGAGAGGUACAUAGGCAGAUUGUCGGGGACGGGGAGCCAGAAUAGCCUGUCAGCCGCUUUCCUCGCGCGGGCUAGAAUGUUGUGGCAGUAACAAUGCUGUUGCGUAACAUGCCCGAGCCCUCGAACUCCCAAGCACGGCGCAUCCGAGACGAGGUGCAGACUCUGCUCCAGGUAGCGGCAGUUCAACAAGCAGAGAGCUCGGCCUCCCGACGUUGAGGGGCAGGUACUGAAAAGCGCGAUAAGCCAGCCCAAAAUGAAAAGGAGGUGUCGGUCCAUCAGCAGCCACCUCCUUGAGGGAGAAAGACCACGCUCGUCCUCCCCGUCGACAACCAGCGACGCCACGACGCGAGACAUGACAUCGACGAGAAUCGUCGCUGUCGGUAUGGAGAUGCAAAAGAGCGCGGCUACAGCGCCCACCGCGGCGGGAGGUAUGAUAGCGACGAGGUCCGGAUGGCCCCAGAACCACCAGGCCCGCGGGUGUUCAGCAGGGCAAUCCGCAGCACGCCGCUGCCCAGCCCGUUCCGACCCCCGACCAGCAUUGCAAAGUACAUCGGUGAGACCAAGCCAGAGCUGUGGCUGGCAGAUUUCAGGCUGGCCUGUCAGCUAGGUGGCGCCCGAGGGGACGAUCGAGCCAUCAUCAGACAGCUGCCGCUCUUCCUCUCCGACACUGCCCGCAGAUGGCUCGAGGAGCUCCCGGCCAACCAGAUUUACGAUUGGGCCGAUUUGGUCAGGGUGUUCGAGGGUAACUUCAAAGGAACCUACAUACGACCCGGCAACUCGUGGGACCUCAGCAAAUUCAAGCAGAAGUCGGGAGAAACCCUCCGAGAAUAUACUCGAUGCUUCUCGAAGCAGUGCAUCGAGCUGCCACACAUCCCCAACCACGACGUCAUCCUGGCCUUUGUCUCUGGUACCAGCAGUCGAGACUUGGAGCAGGAAUUGGGCCGGAAUCGCCCUCAGACCGUCGACGAGCUGAUGGACGUAGUGGCAAACUACGCUGCUGGGGAAGAAGCGGUGGGCGCCUUCUUCAGCUGUGAAGGAAGGAAAGGCAAGCCGCCCGUCGAUGACGACGAGGGUCCCAGUCGAGGACCCAGGAAGAACAAGAAGAAGAAGAAAACAUGACCGUUCCAGCGGGAAGACCUCGACGACGAUCUCGUCGCCGCCAUGGAACGCAAAAGGCCUCGAGGCCCUCCAGAGGGGGGAAUCUUCGAUAAGAUGCUAAAGGAGCCAUGCCCUUACCACAAGGGAGGGGCAAACCACAAGCUCGAGGACCGCCGUAUGCUGAAAAAGCAUUUCGAUGGUCUAGGGUUCAAGAAGGACGCCCGCAACGACCCAAAGAAGGAGAAGAGCGGCGACAAGGAGGACAACAAAGACGAUGACGGUUUCCCAGCCGUCCACGACUGCUACAUGAUCUAUGGCAGACCCUCGACGCAGUUGACCGCAAGGCAGCGCAAGAGGGAACGUUGUGAGGUCUUCGCUGCAAGAAUGGCGGUGCCCCAGUACCUUAGCUGGUCGAGCACCCCUAUCACCUUCGAUCGAGAGGACCACCCCGACAAGGUGGUCGCCCCUGGCGUCUACCCGCUCGUCGUCGACCCCUUUAUCGUCAACACCCGGCUCUCAAAAGUGCUGAUGGACGGCGGCAGCAGCCUCAACAUCAUCUACCUCGAGACCCUUGACCUCCUAGGCAUCAACAGGGCGCAGCUCCAGCCAAGCGCCGGUGGCUUCCAUGGUGUCGUACCAGGAAAGAAGGCGUUGCCAAUAGGUCGAAUCGACCUACUAGUUAGCUUUGGCACGGCGGCCAACUUCAGAAAGGAGACCCUCACCUUUGAGGUAGUGAGAUUCCGAGGUACAUACCACGCCAUCAUUGGGCGCCCGGGUUACGCCAAAUUCAUGGCCAUCCCCAACUACACCUACCUGAAGCUGAAGAUGCCCGGUCCCAAGGUCGUCAUCACCGUCAGCUCCUCUUUCGAGCACGCAUACAAGUGCGACGUCGAAUGCGUCGAGUAUGGAGAAGCGGUCGGGAGUUCCACCGAGCUCGCCUCGAAGCUCGAGGCCCUGGCCGCAGAGGCUCCAGAGCCUAAGCGCUACGCGUGCAGCUUCGAGCCAGUAGAAGGAACAAAGAAGAUCCCGCUCGACCCUAACAACUCCGACGGCAAGGUGCUGACGAUCAGCGCCGACCUCGACCCCAGAUAGGAAGCUGUGCUCGUCGACUUUCUCCGUGCAAACGCCGACAUGUUUGCAUGGAGUCCCUCGGACAUGUCGAGCAUACCGAGGGAAGUCGCCGAGCACUCCUUGGAAAUUCGAGCCGGUUCCAAGCCAGUGAAGCAACGGCUGUGCCGCUUCGACGAGGAGAAGCGCAAGAUCAUUGGCGAGGAAAUCCACAAGCUUUUGACAGCCGGAUUCAUCAAGGAGGUUCACCAUCCCGACUGGUUAGCAAACCCUGUAUUAGUUAAGAAAAAGAAUGGGAAAAUGAGGAUGUGUGUCGGUUAUACAAGUUUGAAUAAAGCAUGUCUGAAAGUUCCUUUUCCAUUACCACGUAUCGAUCAAAUUGUUGAUUCUACUGCGGGAUGUGAAACCCUUUCUUUCCUUGAUGCAUAUUCUGGUUACCAUCAAAUAAAAAUGAAAGAGUCCGACCAGCUCGCGACAUCCUUCAUUACGCCUUUUGGGAUGUAUUGUUAUGUAACCAUGCCGUUCGCGCUUCGAAAUGCGGGAGCAACAUACCAGCGCUGCAUGCUCCACGUCUUUGGCAAGCACAUAGGGUCGACGGUCGAAGCCUAUGUCGAUGACAUCGUCGUCAAGUCAAAGCGACGGGGAGACCUGAUUCAAGACCUCGAGAUCGCUUUCAAUUGCUUACGCGCCAACCAGAUCAAGCUCAACCCCGAGAAGUGCGUUUUCGGUGUGCCUCGAGGUAUGCUCCUGGGCUACAUCAUUUCCCAGCGCGGCAUCGAGGCUAAUCCCAAGAAAGUCUCGGCCAUCACGGGAAUGGGGCCAAUCCGAGACAUCAAGGGCGUGUAGAGAGUCAUAGGAUGCUUAGCGGCGCUGAGUCGCUUUAUCUCGAGGUUAGGGGAAAAGGCGUUGCCGCUAUACCGACUCUUGAAGAAAGUCGAGCGUUUCUCUUGGACCCAAGAGGCCGAGGAAGCCCUCGAUAACUUGAAGAAAAUGCUAACCUCUGCACCAGUCCUAGUCCCGCCUCGACCCGCAGAACCUCUGCUUCUAUACGUCGCGUCGACGACCCAGGUCGUCAGUGCAGCAGUAGUGGUCGAGAGGCUGGAGGAGAGGCACGCGCUGCCAGUCCAGAGGCCGAUCUAUUUCAUCAGCGAAGUGCUCUCGGAGACCAAGGCGCGUUACCCACAAAUCCAGAAGCUAAUCUACGCCGUAAUCCUCGCCCGACGCAAGUUGCAGCACUACUUCCUCGGCCACCCUAUCACGGUGGUCUCGUCCUUCCCCUUGGGCGAGAUCAUCCAGAGUCGGGAGGCCACGGGAAGAAUCGCUAAGUGGUCGGUCGAGCUCAUGAGUGAGACCCUCACCUAUGCGCCCCGGAAAGCUAUCAAGUCACAAGCCCUGGUGGAUUUCGUCGCGGAAUGGACAGACUCCCAGCUCCCCCCGGCUCAGGUUCAGGCGGAGCUGUGGACGAUGUAUUUCGAUGGGUCUCUCAUGAAAAUGGGAGCUGGGGCAGGCCUGCUAUUCAUCUCGCCCCUGGGCGUUCAUAUGAGGUAUGUCAUCAGGAUUCAUUUUGCCGCGUCCAACAAUGUCGCAGAGUACGAGGCUCUUGUCAACGGUCUGAAGAUCGCCAUCGAGAUAGGAGUCCGACGCCUCGACGUUCGAGGCGACUCUCAGCUCGUCAUCGACCAAGUGAUGAAGGCAUCGAACUGCCACGACCUGAAAAUGGAAGCGUACUGCAAGGAGGUCCGUCGACUCGAGGACAAGUUCCACGGCCUCGAGCUCGUCCAUGUCGCUCGACGCUACAACGAGGCAGCUGACGAACUCGCUAAGAUCGUAUCGACUCGAGGCACGAUCCCACCCGACAUGUUCUCGAGAGAUCUACACAAGCCAUCCGUCGACUUGGGCUCGGGGGCUGGUGUCGAAGCCGCUCCUGCCCAGCAGACUGACACCGUCGAAGUGCUACUAAUGGCAGCUGAGGUAAUGGAGGUGGAGCAGCGGCCUGGUCGACCGUUUGACUGCCGCACGCCGUUCCUUGACUGCCUAAUCCGCUGCGAGCUACCAGAAGAUCGAUCCGAGGCCCGCCGUAUCGCUCGACGGGCCAAAUCAUAUGUAAUCUACGGCGAAGACAACGAGCUAUACCGACGAAGCCCGACGGAGAUCUUGCAGCGCUACAUCACCAUAGAAGAAGGCCGAAAACUUCUCGAGGAUCUACACUCGGGGGCUUGUGGUCACCAUGCCGCUCCACGGACCCUUGUAGGGAACGCUUUCCGACAAGGCUUCUACUGGUCAACGGCCGUAGCUGAUGCCAUCGAGCUCGUACGAUCAUGCCAUGGGUUCUAUGCCAAGCAGAGGCAUCUGCCCGCCCACGCUCACCAAAUGAUCCCCAUCACAUGGCUGUUUGCGGUGUGGGGGCUCGACUUAGUAGGGCCUCUACAGAAGGCAAAAGGGGGGUACACCUACUUGUUGGUGGCCAUCGACAAAUUCUCCAAAUGGAUCGAGGCUCGACCCAUCACCCACAUCUGCUCCAAACAGGCUGUCCUUUUCUUCACCGACAUCAUCCACCGGUUAGGGAUUCCCAACGUCAUCAUCACUGACAAUGGCACUCAGUUCACUAUCAAAAAUUUCUUGGACUUCUGCGAUCAGCAUCACAUCCGUGUGAACUGGUCUACAGUGGCCCACCCUCGAACUAACGGCCAGGUCGAGCGUGCCAACGGCAUGAUUUUGCAAGGGCUCAAACCGAGGAUCUACAAUCGCUUGAAGAAAUUCGGCAAGAAAUGGGUCGAAGAGCUUUCCUUGGUCCUAUGGAGCUUAAGGAUGACGCCAAGCAGGGCCAUAAAAUACACCCCAUUCUUCAUGGUCUAUGGCUCUGAGGCCGUGCUCCCAACGGACCUCGAGUACGGAUCCCCUCGACUCAAAAGCAUACAACGAGCAAUCAAAUAAAGAGACUCAAGAGAACGCGGUCGAUCAACUCGAGGAAGCUCGAGACAUGGCCCUCCUCAACUCUGCUAGAUAUCAGCAGAAGCUUCGACGCUACCACGACAAGCACACGCACAAGAGGGACUUGAAUGUAGGCGACCUCGUCCUACGGCGGUGGCAAAGCAAUCAAGGACGCCACAAGCUGACUCCACCUUGGGAGGGCCCAUACGUAGUGGCCGAGGUCUUGAAGCCGGGGACAUACAAGUUCGCGGAUGAAAAGGGGGCGAUCUUCACCAACGCGUGGAACAUCGAACAGCUACGGCGAUUCUACCCCUAGAAUUUCAAAGCUUUAUGUUCCCAUGUACAUACAGUACCAAGGACUUGUGAAUGAAUGCAUGAAUAAGAUCUUUUCCUCGAGCAAUUUACCUUUUCACGAGUCGAAAUCUCGACGUUAGAUGGGAGUACCCACUAUGACCCAUCAUAGUUGAUACCCCCUCGGGGGCUAGCAAGGGGGUGAUGCCCCCCAAGUGUCAAAAAAACCAAGUAAUCCUUUCGUUCCUAUCAGUAAUCUUGUACGGUUGAGCAGUAUAGGCAUCUCGAGCCCCUUAAGGGCCGAGACUCGAUGAGCCUGAGAACUCCUACGCCCCCGGGCUACGGAAACUCUACUCGCUUCCUCACCCUUGAGGCAAUGGAGAUCGCCUUAAACGAAAGACCAAACGAGGAAUACAAACAUAGGCGCAAAAGGAAACAAAGGAGCCUCGAGCGGAAAGAUGGGCAAACAUUCACGAAUAUUGUAAGUCACUUAAAAACACAAUAUUGCACAAGAUAGAAUGGCAAAGUGCUAUACAAGGGGCCUAGGCACCCAGAGCAGGCUCACAGGCCUCAAUCUGCAUCUCGGCCCUCACCAUCCUCGCCCGCGCCUGAGCUACUCUCAGGAGGAAGUACUUCUGGCUCGAACAGCUUAGCCAACCUCUCCCUAGGGACCUCUGCGUCAUCGAUCAAGGCGUGGAGCCUUUCCUCGUUCUCCGCGUCAGUCUUGGAAAUGUCGGUGACGAAGCCGUGGGACACCACCUCCAUGUCGUAAGAAAAGCCUGAGCAGACUACCACCAUCGCUCGCUUCACUGCGACAUGAAGAGCAUCCCGCACCCAGUCCCUCAGCGUAGCACCAAGGUAGCAUAGCUGGUCAACGAGUGCGUCGCCUCGAGCCUCCUCCCUUGACUCGUCAACAGGCUCCAGCUCCUAGGAGGCCGAGAGGUCGCUUAUCGCAAUCCGAAGACGGCCAUUCAAGGCGACCUCCCCCUCGAGCUGAGUCUUGAUGGAACGGGCCUCGACUUGGGCGGCCAGCAGCUCAUCUUUGAGCCCCGCAAUGACCAACAUGAAGGAAUUAGAUAACACCAGGCACACCUCAGAAAAGAAACUCGAUAGUAGAAACAUACCACGGAUGCUCUCCUACAGAGCCGUGUUCUCGCCAACCAAGUUGGUGUUGGCCCUCUCGACCUCCUAGUUAGAGCGCGCCAGCUCGGUGUUAGCGACACGUAGAUCUUCGAUCACCUUGCCGGCUUGCGCGAUGGCCUCAUCUUUUUCCAGCAGCGCUCUCUUCAGACGAUCGACAUCGUUAGAAAGGCUGCGGGAUCGAGCCCGCUCCGCCUCGAGAUCUUCGAGGGCCUUCUUCAUGGCCUCCUCUGCGGCGCUCCUGGCGAUCUCGCCAUUCAUGCACUCCACCUUCAUCCUUUGGAAGGUUUCUCGGGCGGAGGCGAGUUCAGUCUGGAGGAGGCCCUUCUCCUUAUCUAGGUCAGCAGCCGCGCUCUUGUAGGUCAGGGCCUCGUCCCGGGCCUUGGACGUAGCUUCCUCGACCGUCAUAGCCCGCUCCCUCAGCAGCGCAGCCUCUUCCACCGCCUUCCUCGAGGCCUCUCGAGCCUCAACCAGAGCAGCCUCCCUCUCGUUCUUCUCCUCCUCGAGCGCCAAGAGCUCCUUAUGGGCCUUGAGGAGUUUCUCCUGUGACUCCAGGAGUUUGUCCUUGAGGAUGGGGAGCUGCUCCCAGCCGCCUCUCGUGGUGUGGAUGAAGCUCGACUUGAUGCGGGAAGUUUCUUUCAGGUCCUGCGAGCCAGCGAUUGAGCAGUUAGGACACCAAGUCAAACGUUCUAUAAAGAUUAAGGACUGGAAAAUAAUUACAAAGUAGGCCGGUCCAAGCCCGUUGUUAACAACGUCGGACAGGAGCCCCACCGUAUGUUUCAUCCAAAGGCGGAGCUCCUCGACGUGCUCCCACUUUUCGGCCUCCUUCCGGUCGUCCAGGAAGAUGUUGGGUUCAGACGGAUCGGUGGAAGCCCGGAUGCGGAUCCGGUCGGGGCACCAGUUCUCCAUCUCCUGGUCGGCACGCGCCUUGACGCCUCGGAUGAGUUCUUCGACGGUCUCGAGCGACCCCCCGUGGCGCAGGAACAAGUCGACGAGGUAGGGGAACUGCACAUCGUCAUCCACCGUCUUCCAGGUCCCGGUCUCGCUGCCUCCACCACCACUUGACGUACCAGCCUCGUCCUCCUCAGCGGGAAUACGGUCUUCCCACGACCAACGCUCUCGGAGGAACCCCGGAGCGAUUCCGUCCAUGCCAUAGAUUGUCCUCCUCAUCUCGGACUCGGGGUCGGCGGGAGUACGCAUCAUGCAGGCGAGCACCACCAUGCCAUCCGCCCGCCCCGACUCUGCUGGGAUCGAUGCAGGCGCCCCUGGACGGAGCCACACCGGGGUCGGAGGGCCGAAAACUGGCAGACCCCCCUCCUGGUUGCCAGGCUCUUGUAGCACUUCUGGCUCUGGAUGGGGAGGAUCGAGCAGUUCCGCCAGCUGCUGGCCCCACUGCUGCUGCUGCUCCUGGAGCUCCCGCGGCUCCUGUUGGUGGUCUUCCUCCGGUGGUCCCUCGAGCUGGGGACUGGCCAUCGGAUGCCCUUCCUCCUUCUCUUUCUGUUGUAGCCGCUGUUCCUCUUGCAGCUGCUGCCGCGUCCCCCGUUCACCCUCCUCUUCCUCCUUCCUCCUCUGCUCCUCGACGGAGCGAAGCCCGGCAGGCUAGGGCGUCCGCUUCGCGACGAGAGAAGUCUGGGCUCCAGACCCCUCACGAGCGGUAGGCCUCGACCGGUAGGCCUCGAACCACCCCGCGUCGGGGCUCCAGACCCCUCAUGAGCGAGCGCCGGCCGUGGCUCGGCGUCUCCCCCUUGGCGAGCGCCAGGGCUAGCGCUCCUGCGGCUUGUUUCCCCCUUGCCGGAGGCCGCAGCAUGGCCACGGGUCAACGGCCCCGACGCCUGGGGCUUGGCCCGGUCACCCGCCUUUGGUGCAGGGGGAGGUUGGGGGUGCGGGACGGAUCGGCUUUGAGCCGGUGCGGGAGGGACGUCGGCACGGGAGUGGCGGGGGGACGACUCCCUCUGCUGCCUCUCAAGAGACCCGCCUGGUCCCUCCUUUGGCGCUCCCAUCCGCGGGACAUCAGCAUUAGCUCGAGGCGGACCCUCGAGGAUCCUGUCAAGCUGGGACGCCAUCCCCUCGGAGUCGUCGCUGCUACCGUCACCGUCACCGCCGUCCUCCUCAUCGGGGGAUUCUUCUUCAGGCUCCCCCCUUUGCCUGGAUUUAGCUCGACGCGCCUCUAACGCUUGGCGGACGAGAUUCUUCAUCUUCUCUUUCUUCUUCUCUGAGUCUUUUAUGGACUUCUGCUUCUCGGCGGACUGGCGUCGCUUGUCGCGGUCGGCCCUAUCCUCCUUUACUGGAGGCCUUGAGGAACGUCGAUCGGUCCCUGCGAGAGGAAAGAUUAGCUUAAAGAGGGAUCGAAGGAAACCCAGAAUCAAAACCAUGUGCAAAAGAGAACUUACCAGAUCGAUUGACCCCUCAUCAGGCCUCAUGGGGAAGCCAUUGACGUGCUCUGGCUGGAAGUCGCCGGCGACGGCCGCCCGGACCCGGGCCGCAACUUCAUCAUCCGCUGGAGCCUUGUUGGACAUCCGACACGCCUCGAGGUCCCGGGACGAGACGGCAGGACCCAUCUCGUCCAUCCUCAGCGGCCAAGACAUCAACGGGAGAACCCUCUGAUGAUGGACGGCCGAGAGGACGAGAGCGGCGGUCAGGCCUUCCACGCGCAAUUUCUUCAAGGCGUCGAGGAGGGGGUCAAGCCACAACUGGUGAACUUGGACGACUCCGUACGUCCAGUUCUUCAGGCGCUCCGUGAUCAGGCGGCCGGUGUAGGCAGGAAGGAGGCCAUCGUCAUUCCUCAGGUAGAACCACUGGGAGUCCCAUCCGGCGUGGUUCGAUGAUAAUCCUACCGGGAUGUGCUCGCGUGGCCUCUCCGUCUUCCCCGUCUUCAGCACCAAGUUGAGGCACUCGGCCCGCACGGGUUUCCUCACGCCUGUGGUCCCAGUGGGGGCGUUGAAGAGCUCGGCCCUGUAGAGGUGGAGCCACAGGUCCCAGUGGGGCAUCACCCCUAAAUAGCCCUCACACACCGCGGCAAAGACCGCCACGACGGUGAUGGCCUUUGGGGAGAAAUGCUGGAGCUCCACCCCGUAAUGGUGGCAGAGCGCCCGCAUGAAGCGACUCGGGGGAGCGCCCAGGCCGUGGCAGUGGAAUUUGGCAAACGAAACCACAUAGCCCUUGGGCGGCUUGGGCUCCCGGUGGUCCACCGACGGCACAAUCCACUCCGGCGACGACAACGAUGUGCGGUGGCGUAGGAGUCCCUCCCUCUCGAGCUCCAGCAACUGGCGCUCUGUCAUCGACGACGGGCGCCAGUCGUCGGCGGCGACGAGUCUCACAGGCAUCUUUGGGUGGAAGGAAGGCGAGUUUGCUGCUACUCGAGGGUGCGUGCACGCGUGAGAUGGCAAGGGAGCUAAGGCAAGAAUGGAGGCAGAAAGCGGAAGGGAGAACGGCAACCAGGCCACGGGAUAUUUAUAGACAGCAACCACCAACGGACGGAUCUGAUAAAUACGGUAACUCCCCCCAUAAAUGGGCUGCUAAUGGUCUUUUUCCUCUCACAGACGGGGCGCUACGAAUUCUGCGCCGAUACAGCAUCGCAACGGCUCCCGCCUGAAAAGACGCGCUCAAUGGGCAAAAAGGUGAACCGCCACGGCCUUUUCCUUCCCUUGUAAGCCAAGGUACGUAUCUAUGAGAGUCUCGAGAGGUCGCAGGCUGACCCGCCGAAAGGGUUCGACAGCCGAUCUCGAGCACCAGAGUCAGGGAUGCCCGGCGAGUGGUCGAAAGUCGAGGCCCGCCUCGAGAACUCGCUGGGGAUGUCCAAGGUAGGGUCCAGACAGUCGAGAGGAAUCCCCCUGACGGGAGGCAUCGAGCCACUGGACUCUAUCAAACGAGACCAGCAUCCCCGACCACGUCGACCCCGCUUUAUGAGAACGCCUCCGGGCUAUAGCUGAUCCCCUCAAAAGGGGCACAGGUUCUCACUUGGACUACCCGUUAGGAACUCGAUCUGGGGUGGAUGACGCUCGCUCUAUCGAGAGUACGUCGAAACCCCUACGUAGACGAGCCAAUCAGUACCUUCCACCACAGGUGUCGACAGCGUUUCUGUACAUUAGGCGACAUAACCCUCGAAGGAGUCAAAAACUCCUCCAAGGGCUCGGGGGCUACCCCCGCGGGGUCACUCGCGCGCCCCCACGGAACCUCAACCAUAAAAUAUAGCCUCCACUCGAGCGCCAGCGCUCAAAUAGAGACUCGGGGGCUACUGUCGAGGAUAUCAGUAAGGGGUACCUCAACUGAUGUCCACGCCGAGAUUGUCCAUACACAAAUCGAGGCCUCCCAUUCGACGCCUUGUCCAGUUGCUCGUACGGUCGUCGACGACCGCAACCUCGAAGACGUAAAGGGCGUCGAGCGAAUCAACCAGAGCUCGAGCGUAGGCUACUGUCGAAUACGGAAACAGGACGGCUCGAGACCACGCCGGUACGGAGGCCUCGAGUAGGUUAGCGCGCCAUACCUCUAUCGACCCCUACUCUGACGCCUAUACUUGUACCCUAGGCUUCUCCUUGGAACUAUAAAAGGGGAGGCCCGGGAAAAGAUACAGGAUCAGGCGAUACAACACUCACACGUAGUAGAGCUUCCAUACUCCAUCCCAGUUCAUACACGCUUGUAUUCACCCUUGUACAAGCACUUAGGUGCAAGAUAAUAUAAAUUCUCCUCCCCCGCUGGACGUAGGGCCUUCUCUCGCGCGAACCAGGAUAAAUCUUUGUGUCUUCUUGCAUCACCAUAUGGAAAGGGAGCACGCAAAUAAAUUUACUCGUUGGUGUCACCCCCCGUGGGGAAAACACCGACAGUGCGUCUUGUUCCCGGCCGGCAAUCUGCGCCUCGCCGACUUCUUUUGCUGGCACCGCCGACCACAUCCAUCAAAGCAUCACACAUCAAAUCCCUAGAUACGUUAACGCACUGCCCCAAGUCCAGUUCAUCGGCCAUCAAUAGCAGGCCAAAGAUCCCAAUGUUGAUGCUCUGAUCGUCUUUGGUCCGGCAUCUCCAGCCGUGAGCCAUGGAGCAUUGUUUGAAGCCCCAUCCUCUUAAAGGUUUGUGUGUCGUCUUCUCAAGUUCGUCAACUGGAGGCUAGCAGACCACAGCCAUGAACAUCGUGAAUACUUGUAGCUCAUGCUGGGACCCUGCGCAGUCGGAUGCUGCGAGAUUUCGUGCUGACGGAGGAGCACGGCUAGGUGAAGCUCUUGCCGCUGGCUCUUCUCGUCGUCGGGUGGAGGAUGCUAUUAUCUGUGCCUGAUCAUUCGUCUUUAGCUAUGGUGAGCAUAUCCACGUCUCUCUGCAUGAUCUCUGUGUAGCUCUGCUACUAGCUUUGGUGCCUAUGUAUCUUUAGCAAAAGAUAGCAUUAUCAUUCAAUCAAAGCAAGCAACACAUGGUUUGACCUUUGCCUUUGCAGUAUCCAUUGUUAACUUGAUUAAACAGUUUUUAAUUUAAAAUCACGUGUCCUUUAUAGUUAGAUUAUAGUAUCGCUCUGAUAUUUUUAUUUAUUUAUACCAAUUAAAGUUCAAAUGAAUUAAAUAAUAGUAUAAGACAUAUUUAUUUAUAAAUAAAGUAUUAAUAUAAUUAGCUGCUUUUGCAUAUGCUUUUUCUUUUGCAAAGAUAAAAAUUAAACUUUAUUAAAUAUGAUUAAAUUUACUUUAGUUUGCUAAUUACAAAAAUGACGUAGGAGUUACACUUCUAUAGUUUAAAUAAAAAUAUUUAUAUGGUUUAGUUAAUUAGUAUCACAAAUGCAUUUUUAUAUUAUAACUUGUUUAGCUUGAAUUCACGGCACAGGCACUUUGAGUAGGUGUUCCCACACGUUAUUUUAAAUUUGGCCAAGAUAAAUCUAAGUUGAAUUAUACGAUAAUAUAUGUUAAUAAAAUACGAUAAUAUAUGUUAAUAAAAUAUGACUAGUCUUAACUUAGCUUUUGAAUUAAAAUAUAUUUUGUCAUGAUUUUGUUUAACUUGUUAAAGCUAUAUGACAAUAUUUAUAGAUAAAUGUUGAUUAGUUUUAGCUCAGUUUCUAAACUAGGAUAUAAUUUGUGUAAUCUAAAUUAACUUGCUUCUUAUGGUUUUGCUAAAUCGAAAUAAAUCAAGGAUGUAGGUUUUCUUUUGUAAAAUAGAAUAAUAAAAUAAUAUAUAACUCCCUAUAGUUGUUUUCUUUUUAACUAUAGACUUGUUCUUAAUGUUUUCUUGCGCUCUCGUGACCGUAGCAGCGAGCUCUCUUUUAGUAUGUUGUUUAACAUUGUCUCGUGUGUUGUUCUUAGUUGUUUCUAUUUGUUGCUUGUAUGUUUUUUUGGUGUGCUUGGUUGCUGUGAUCUGCGAGUAGACGAGAACCGCUUGUGAGUGCGGAAGGCCAGAAGGUGAUGACUAAAAGCUGAUGAUGUGAGAAUUAAGCAAAUAUUCAAGGCAAGUAUAACUUGGGACUAUCCUUGUUACCUACACACUUAUAAUUAAUACAAUAUAUCAUAUGCAUGUGUCCACCUUGAUGACCUUAGCAAAAUCAUAGAUGAUUGUUAUCCUGAAUUCCUUGUUACCUAUUUGCAUAUUCAUUUGGGUAGUUCUUGCUAGUGCUUGAUUAUUAAUCCAUGAUCUUGUGACAUGAAUAUUUGGAUACACAAUAAUUAAUAAAAUAAGCUUUCUAGCAACUUGGACAUAAAGGGUGGAAAGAACUCUAGCUAUUGCUAGAUUGAUCUUGACCCUCCAUAAGGACUUAUCUCUUGGCAAAAGCUGGGACAACUCGUACAACCAUGAGGGCUAUAUGGCUCUGGCUUUAGCUUAGUAUGAAGACCUUUUCUAGCUUGUUAGAGGUUACCCGUAAGGGCGCUAGAGGGGCUGAACCGACACGGGCAUAGUGCGAGCCCCUGUCCCUAUGUGUAUAGGCUGCGCGUCAUUGUGCCAUUCGGAAGGGGGGUAUCUAUAUCUGCUCGCGAAGGAAACCUUGCGGCCCUAAUAUGUUAGACGAACUUUUGAAACGCUUCAUAGUGAUCCCUGCCGACCUCCCUAGGAAGGGGGUUAAGAGACUAGCUACCUCGGGCGAAAGGGUAAAUCAUGACUCAUGGGUAAAGAUGUACAACCUCUGCAGAGUGUUAAAUCUGCUAUACUAGCCGUGCCCAUGGAUACGGGCGGCUCGGAAAACUGACGGAAUAGAUGGACACUGUUGAACAUGAUUAAUGAUGAUAAAUGAUGGUUUAUAUUGUUGUUUAUAUGUGUUAUUCUUUAUUCUUGUGUACAUUGAUCAUGUGAAAAUGGGAUUAUAUGCUACCUUGAUAUUGUUGUUGCAAAAUGAUAAACAUGCUAUAUACAUAUAAAAGCUAAAUGUCAAACCAGUGUGAGCUAUUUGAGCCUCAUGAACCUCUGGUUAUACUUGUUGAGUACGACAUGUGCUCACUCUUUCUAUUUCCCACCACUCCAGUUUACUAGUAAGAGUUAUCAGAGGAGCCGAGGAGUUACGAAGGACGUUCUCAGGAUACAAGAAGUGCUAGGCAUAUGUUACCCCCAGUCAACCGUCCCUGUGAAGAUUAAGCCUAAAGAAUAGUUACCGUUCCGCGAUACUCUGAUGUAAGUGUUAAUUAUAAGUAUGUUUCCACUAUAUAACAUUGUUUUUGAUACUAUUGCUUCUGUUGUUGUAUGUGUGGACUCUUCCUGGGCACACAUAUGGCUUGCUUGGUUUUGUUCUUUAAAACCGGGUCUGACAGAGUGGUAUCAGAGCAGUGUUGACUGUAGGACGUAUGCCUAGAUAGCACUGGUCGAUUAAAAAAAAUCUCUUUGACCAUUGAUUUGAUAAUUUCUCAUCCUCGUCAUAUCGCUUCUCCUCCUUGAUAGCUUCCUUUGAGCUAUUACUUCUUAUCUCCUUGAUUCUUUUUGUCUUUGAAUUACUAAAUUUUUCUGAUCUCACCUUAUUCAAAUUCGCGAUGGCCUUUCAUCAUUUCUAACCCGCCCUUUAGGAUGACCACCAUAUUGAAGAAACACGUAUAGAAUCGAUGAUGUGUUGUGUGCUUGUCUUGUUUGGUGUGUUGCCUGUGUGUCGUCUCUGUUCUUGUACUUUGAAGGAGGCCCGAAAGGUAUCGUCUUGUGAAGUAGCUCAGUCUUGUUAAGUGGGGUAGCGUCCGCUACUGUCGUUAAGUAUCUCAAGUUUCAAGACAUGAAGACCUAAUUAUCAAUCUUAUACUUCUUGUAUAUCUCUUUCUUGUAUAGAAAACUUCAUCUUUUCUAUCAUCAAUCAUUAUCUUAUACUCUAUUUAGUUUUAGCACCUUAUCAUUUACCUUAUAAUAUGACAAUCUACAGGUCAACUUCACCGUUCUAGUGUACUUUUCUUGUCAUCGAUCUUUGUGUUUCUUGUGACCAACCAGUAUUUUCUAUUUAACCCUUGUCAUUAGUCUACAGUCGUCUUAUCAUCUCUCAUCAUAUAGCUCAAAAUAACCUUGAAAACCAAUCAUCAAUCCUUUGAUCUCAUGUCAUAAAUUCCAAUUUAAUCUUGAGAAUCAAACCUUGACAUCUCUGUCAACUUUUAUAAUCCUCAAUCCCUAAAUCAUAUCUUGUCAAAAGUCUCAAAACAACCUUGAUGAUCAACUUUAUCAUUAUCUCUAGUCUAAUCGAAUCUCGGGACGAGAUUCCUAUUAAGUGGGGUAGAUUGUCACACCCCAAAAUUUCUAAUUUUGGGUUGUGCAUCGAACACACUAAAUAAAUAUAAAAUGAAUUUAAUAUUUGUAUAAGAUUUGCCAUGUUUAAUUUGAGUUAGUGCAAAUUUAGUUAUAGAAAAAUAUGAAUUUUCAAAUCGUUCCAAAUUAACUUAAUGGGAUUUUGUUGAUGUGGUGUGAUGCUUGUUUGUUGUUUGGCUUUGUAUUGUGAGUGGGUAAAAUUUUAGAGCGCGUUUAGUAAGUCAAUUAUGAAUGUUCGGCUUAUCCCUAUUUUUUUCUAAAAUCACUUCGCCACUUUCUCAAGCUUAAUUUUUUUUUAUGUUUAGAGUUUCCCAAAAUAUAUUUCUUCCAAUUCAAAUAAUCCAUUUGAGAUCAUUGCACAUCAAAUUAUCUCUAAUAUAUAUCUUCACCGGAAAUAUUCUGAAUUCUGCUAAAACUUUUUCCAACAUAUCCAAGGAAACUCAUAUUUAUUGGACUCCAGAUGCUUUAUUUGGGCUAUUUUGCUUGACGUGAUGACACGUAUUUACAUUCCAAAACGAGCAAUCGACCAGGCCACGUCCUUCAUGGUUAAAGAUCACAUCGUGCGCUUCUUCAUAAAGUAAUCAAUCAUUUAUAUAACAAUAUAUAUAUAUAUGUAUAUGUCAUAUAUAUAUAUCAAUCUCUAUGAAAUGCACAUGCCGGAAAUUCUAUAUUUAUCUAGUCGUAUCUGACUAUAAAUAGCAUCUAACGUUUCUUUUGCAAACCCUUGAAAAUAAGGCAAUUGAUUAUGAUCCAAGCAGCCGCACACAACAUCUGAGCUAGCAAGGCCGCCGGCUGUGUUCCUGCCGAUCUCCAACAUGGGUGCGUCUUGUUCCCGGUCGGCAAUCUGCGCCUCGCCGACUUCUUUUGCUGGCGCCGCCAACCACAUCCAUCAAAGCAUCACACGUCAAAUCCCUAGAUGCGUUAACGCGCUGCCCCAAGUCCAGUUCAUCGGCCAUCAAUAGCAGGCCAAAGAUCCCAAUGUUGAUGCUCUGAUCGUCUUUGGUCCGGCAUCUCCAGCCGUGAGCCAUGGAGCAUUGUUUGAAGCCCCAUCCUCUUAAAGGUUUGUGUGUCGUCUUCUCAAGUUCGUCAACUGGAGGCUACUAGACCACAGCCAUGAACAUCGUGAGUACUUGUAGAUCAUGCUGGGACCCUACGCAGUCGGAUGCUGCGAGAUUUCGUGCUGACGGAGGAGCACGGCUAGGUGAAGCUCUUGCCGCUGGCUCUUCUCAUCGUCGGGGCGAGGAUGCUAUUAUCUGUGCCUGAUCGUUCGUCUUUAGCUAUGGUGAGCAUAUCCACAUCUCUCUACAUGAUCUCUCUGUAGCUCUGUUACUAGCUUUGGUGCCUAUGUAUCUUUAGCAAAAGAUAGCAUUAUCAUUCAAUCGAAGCAAGCAACACAUGGUUUGACCUUCGGCUUUCCAGUAUCCAUUGUUAACUUAAUCAACUACAACAGAAACAGUUUUUAAUUUAAAAUCACGUGUCCUUUAUAGUUAGAUUAUAGUAUCGCUCUGAUAUUUUUAUUUAUUUUUGCCAAUUAAAGUUUAAAUGAAUUAAAUAAUAGUAUAAGACAUGUUUAUUUAUAAAUAAAGUAUUAAUAUAAUUAGCUGCUUUUGCAUAUGCUUUUUCUUUUGCAAAGAUAAAAAUUUAACUUUAUUAAAUAUGAUUAAAUUUACUUUAGUUUGCUAAUUACAAAAAUGACGUCGGAGUUGUUGGGUAUUCUUAACAUCAUUACGAAAAGUAGACUUAGUUUUCUAAUUCUAGUAACGGUGCCAAAAAUGCCAAACCUAUCCCUCAUACCACUUAAGCCAAGUUGUCAUCCCCAGCAUGACAUGAGAGACGCGGUAUUGAAAUAUGCAAUUGCUCUUCUAAAUAAAUAAUGAAUGGGAUCUGUAAGCGCACAGAUUAAUACCGAUGUAGCAUUUUAACCGGGAAGUAUUCCAGGUAUCGUUAUUUAUAUUUUUACCGCUGGGAAGGGAUUAGCAAUCAUCAAUAUUGAUUACAGAAUAGAAUAUGAGAUUGAGUAUCUAUCAUUGCAUGUAUAAUUGAGAACAUUUAUCUAACUCUUUCAUACAGGGAUAAGUGUCACAUAAAGGAUAUAUGAAAUAAUGAAUAGUGACAAGGAUAAUUAAUCUGAUCAUAACUUAGCCACAUAUAAAUAUGAUAAGCACCUCAAUUAGAUACUCUAGAAAGUCAUUAGCAUGGAAUUAGAACGAACUACAAUAAUAUUUCCUAAGUUAUUCUCAACUAUAUAGUCUAGCAUUAUCAUAAUUAGCGCAAGCAUAAUUAACAAUCAUUGUGAGACAAGACUACGCCCAUGCAUAGUGAUAUUAGCAAGGUAAAUGAGAAACAUAGCAAUCACUCCCCUGUAAUAAUAUUGCUCUGCCAGCCCAAUACACGAGAGGGGGACUAUAUAAGAAUCAAUGAAGUUGUCACUAUCAUGAACUACCCCACGAUCUGGCAUAUUGCGUACAAUCGCAGAUAAAUAUGGUAUAAGCACCACGCCUACACAAUAUCUGUCAUUUACCCAUGGAUCCAAUGGAUAAACGCUAUACGAUCCUAAGCAUGUAUAUAGAUCCAAUCUAACUAAGCCAAGUACAUAACCAUGAUAAACUAAGAACAAUAUAAUCUUGAAUAUAAACAAGUAGAGCAAAGUCAUAAGCAAUAUAUUGAAGUAGAACAAAGUCAUAUUCAUAAUAUUGAAGAACAAAGAUAAUUAGAAAGAACAAUUAGAAGCACAAUUAGAAGCACAAUUAGAGAAUUACCAAGAAUCCUCUUGACAGAUCCGGAAAGCAAUCGAAGAUUGACUCCUUCUAGUUCUAAUCCUAUGUAGCUAUGCUAAUCUAGAUGUCUAAUUGAUGUGGUGGCUCUAAUCUUGAUCAUAGGCUUCUUCUCCCUUGAAGAACAAUGAAUUAGGGUUGAGAGGCUCUCUCCUCCAGGGGCCAGGGGUCUGGUUUUAUAGUCCCUUCAAGUGAAUAUGGGCCGUUGGAUCAAACCGACAUUGAUUGAACGGUUAUCCUUGAUCCUUUAGGUCGGUGGAGAUCUCCCACGAAACAGAGUCUUGAUUGGACUCAGAGAGGGGGCGGGCGCCCUGCCUCUGGCCCCGUUCGGCCUCCGCUUCCUUCCCGUGGCUUCUGGAGUCUUCUAGAUGUAAGAUAAUUGCGCGGCACGUUAAUAUCUCGAUGUAAUCCCGACGUGUGGGCCUUUCUUCCGUAUUUCCUGAUAACCCCCUACAGAAAUAGACAAACACCAAAACUCGUCUAAUUCUGUCAAAUAAAACCCUAAGUCUAGAUGUUGAUUUCAUUUGGAUCCUUUUCUUUGUUUAUUUGAUAAUUAAAUUUGAUACUUAAGGACCAUCAACAAACUCCCCUAAGCUUACCUCUUGCUCGUCCCUGAGCAAGGAUAGAUUAGAAGUUGCUGCAAUAGUUUUAAAAAUUUGACGGUGUUGACACUUUCUAACACCACUUGAAUACUAGGUUGUCAUCCCCAGCGUGGCACUAGAGUGUACUAUGGUAUUUAUACGCACACAGAUAAUCCGCAAGCACACGGAUACCGUUGAAGCUUUUACCCGGUUAAAGGUUUUAUCGUAUCCACAGGGAAACGGGAGAACUGAUCUACGCUCUAACUUAACCAAGAUAAGUAAAUAGGUGUGAAUAGGAAAGAUGGUAGAAUCGAAUAAGAACAAUAUUAAAGGUAAGAUAACAGUGAGUGAUAAUAUGGGAAUAGAGAGUAGAGCAAUUCUAGUAUAUGGGCGAUGGUAGCAGAAUAGAGAGGAUAACUAUGGUUUCUCUACUUCAAAGGGGUAUGUCUAUGUCUGGGACGAACCACGUGAUAAGAGUACACCACAAAUGAUGCUUACCCAUAGGCCGAUAAACCCUACCCGUCCUGCUAACGAGAGGUGGACUACAGGGGACCAACGUAACUGUCACCUACGCGGCCUACCACACGAUCCAGCUAGUCAGGGGAUAUCCACAAGUAAUCUAGGUCUAAGCACCACGCUUACACCUAUACUACAACUCUAACCUAUAGGGUCCUAUAGAUUAGAAGUACUCAAAAGAGUUGUGAACCAGAACAUACAUGAUUAGUAAUUGCAUAAUGAAUUAGAAGUAGAUUACCAGAGUCAUCCCAUGAGCAAGCUUGAUUAGAGCUUGAUCAUGGCGAAGUACAACCGGAGGAAGAACCGACAGGCCGGCCUCUCCUCUAAUCCUCUUUCGCUCUCCAUCUCGCUACUAUCUAGAUCUACUCUAGUUUAGAGAAGAGAGGAGAGCUCUCAUCUCUAAACCCUAGCUUUUGCUCUGUCUAUGAAUAAUGAAUAAUGAUCAAGGGGUGUCUCCUCCAGGGGCCAGGGGGUCUGGUUUUAUAGUCCCCUCAAGUGAACCUGGGUCGUCGGAUCAAACCGACAUUGAUUGAACGGUUAUUCUUGAUCCUUUAGGUCGGUGGAGCAUAAUCUGCGAGAUUGAGCGUGAUUGGCCACAGGAGGUGGGCGGGCGCCCAGUAGGACAGGGCGGGCGCCCUGUCUCUGGCCCCGAUUCGCCUCCGCUUCGGUCUCGUGGCUUCUGGAGUCUUCUACAUGUAAGAUAAUUGCGCGGCACGUUAAUAUCUUUACGUAAUCCCAACGUGUGGGCCUUGCUUCCUUAUUUCCUGAUAACCCCCUGUAGAAAUAGACAAACACUAAAACUCGUGGAAUUCUGUCAGAUAAAUCCCUAAGUCUGGAUGUUGAUUUCAUUUGGAUCCUUUUCUUUAUUUAUUUGAUAAUUAAAUUUGAUACUUAAGGACCGUCAACAAACUCCCCCAAGCUUACCUCUUGCUCGUCCCUGAGCAAGGAUAGACUCAGCUAUGGAUCAUAAGUUGUUACAAUAUCUUUAAAAAUUGACGGUACACAUGCUUUUAAAUGAGGUCUCAUCUCUGAGUUAGAGUAAACUGUCAAGACUUAAAACUUACUUACUUUACCUUUCACCAUGGGACUUGUAACCGUCACUUCUGUCUUGAGUGGUUAAAAGAUAGAACAGUCCAGUCAAGUGCCAUGUCGCUUAUUCUUGAUCAGCUUAGCUCUGGAGUUUUUGUAGAUUUUCAAAUAAAACUCAGAGAUUCCUUUGUAUGACUCUCUCAUAUCUCUCUUUUGUGGUAUUUCUGGAUCCUUACCAAGGCAGUGAUGGUAUAUGCCUUCUCUCAAAAUAUGUUGUAUUUGUGGUAUAAGGCAUAGUGACAUUGCCUUCUCUCUCACCCUACUCUAAUAAGGCUUUAAUAUCUGGAGCUUAUAGGUGGGAGAUAAAAUAUACAUACUUACAAGACAUUUAUUAUAUAGUCAAACCAUGGAUCCAAAGAAACAAAUCAAUAAGCCAAAUCAAGAUGUGCAUGUGUGGCGAAUGAAUGGUGUAUAGUGAUGAUGGUGAUAACAAUGGUGAAAGUCUAAUUCUACUUUUGCUCUUAUGAGGGGAUACAUACCUUCCUUGCUUUUUGAAACUUUAUGAGGAGAAUGGGAUGCUCUUCUUUUUCUUUCCUCUCAGAUGGGUAUCCUGUACCCCUAAUUCUACUGUCGGACACUUGUCCAUUUUUACCUCUCGUCUCACUCUUUUUCUUUUCUUUCGAGGUUCCAGGCACUUGCCCCUUUUUAUUUCCUCGUUUAUUAUUAUUUUUUUCUUUUUUUCUUUUCUUUUUUUUUCUUCUUUUUUUUCAGAGCACUCAUCUCUUGAGAUAAUAUAGCAAGUGGUAGUAGCAAGAUAACUUGAGCAUUUAUUUCACAAGGGAAAAACACAGAUGUUUUUGGCUAUUCUCUCCCGAAUUAGGAGUAGAAUAUUUUUAGGUGAUUCUAGAGAUGGAAAUGGAUGGAUAUAUGUGGAUGGUACUUCCGGAGUAGAAGUAGCAUAUAUAUGAGUGAACGUGCAAGUGAAUCUUGAUUUAACCACAUGACAAGCUCAUAAGGGUCUACACAGCUUGACCACACUCAAUGCUCAUAAGCAGUAAAUAAUAAAUGUGUGGCUCAAAGUCUAGCAAGCAUGUAUAUAUGGCUGUGGUAGGAAUUUAAACUUUCAUCAUACAGGAACUCAUCAUGCAACAUUUUAAAGAUUUUUCAAAGAUAAAAUUCUCCAGAAUUCUAGCAUCUCUAGGAAUAGAUAAACAGCAGCUCAACCUUCCCAUAUCAUAUCCGUUAACAACUUAGAUUUCAGAUCAAGUUUUCAUCCCACAAGUUUAGGUCUAGAGCAAGCUUUAAAUUAUCACAGUUAUAUCUAAACUUGAGAGAGAACUUAAAAUGUGCAAAUUAGGCAGAGCAACUAUUCAUCAUAUCCAUGCUUAAAUUUUAUUUAGAUACAGAUAGCCACUUUAUUUAUUUAUUAAACACACUAAGUAAAAGAUAUAUAAGAACGAAAUCUUUAUUUGGUUUUUCAUAGUUUAUGUAUUUUAAUAUUCUAAAAUAAUAUAAGUAUAAAGAUAGAUAGAUAGAAAUACUUAUCGGGAUAAAUGGGGGUGCUCUCCCCCAAGCUGAAUUUUGACGUAAUUUCUUUUGAUGUAGCUAGCAGGUGGCAGAGGUGUAUUUGAAAGUCAGCAGCAUUCUGACAGCGAUUAGAAUGUCCUCCGUCUGCUAGUAUUCUUGAUUCUUAAAUUCUGUGGAGCUCAAAUAGACAACAAAGCUUGUGGAACUGAUUAAGUGUUAGCAUAAAUAUCUAGCCUUUAUCAUCUUGAGACUCCUUAAUAAAUAUUACUCCCUAUUUUUAUAUUUUUAUUUUUAUAAAGUAGAAAAGAAAUAUUUAUUUUAUUUUUAUGCCACCACAGUGAAGGUACUUAUGGGUUUUAUGCCACUCGUAUACUCACAUGGGGCUUAGUAUUUUUUAACAUUUUUAUUUUCUUUUCAACAUAGCAUGAUUAACUAAUAAUCUAUUUAAGGAAAGUAAAUAAUUAAAGGGAAUGCAGAAAGGAUAAAUAUGGAUAAGUAUAAAUAUGGAUAACUACCAAUCUUACCUUUCGGCGAGGGUUCAAUGUUUUAAGUAUUCUUGUCAAGACUUCUCAUCGUGUUCAUUCUUCAGGUGCGUCAUUUGAUUCAGGUGCGGACCUUGACGUCUGCACCUUUUAAUACGGUGUCACCCAUGUUCUUCGUUUGCCCAGCAGUUCGAAGUGCGGUGUUAGCAGUAUCUUGCUAAGUGUGUUUGUGCUCGUAGUGUACCUGCUCAUAGAGACAAGGCAGAGAUCAAGUGCAUGGGCCCUGUUGGUGGAAAACACCAACAGAACCAAAAGUGUAUUUGUUCUUCUCUAACCUUAAGUAUAGUGAGCAAGACAAGUUGAUGGAUGAUAAGUUCAUGAGUGUAGCACUUAUAACAUUUGUCAGAUCAGAUCGCUCAACCUUAUGGAAAGAUAAUCUAUUUAUGUAUAUGUCUUUUUCUUUAUAUCUCUCAAUGAUUGAAUGUGUAACAUUUUAGCUCAUAUGAUUAGGAGUGUGGGAUCAUGGAGGUAGUACUAAGAACAAGGAUUAAAGGACUAAACAUGUUGAAUCAGUUGGGUUGGUUAAUCUAGAGUUGUAAAUCAUACACGUUUGUCUCUUUUAUUUAUAUGAACGCCAGAACCAAGGAGAAGCUUAUAAAAGAGAUAGUCAAGUACCUUAAGAUGUUACCUUGCUCAAAGAGUGAUGGUACAGUAUCAUCUUGUGGAAGCUUUCCUUUCUUAGCGGUUGUGCGUCGUGUUUGUGGCACCCUCCAUGGAUCAUGUCUCUAUAAUGAAUGAGCUAUGUCCUUCUUGUGCAAAUUGUUAAACUUCAUGUGUCACUCUCUUCGUCUCUGAUGUGAGUUUAUCUCAGGAUUUCCCAAAUUGAUAUUGAAAGUUUUUCUGCAGGGGUUAGUCCGACAAAAUAUACCAAUAUCUACUCAAGCAGUUUUUUUAGUUCAAUAACCAAACUAGACUCCAUGUCUAAUCAGAUUAAGGAAGGCUAUUUAACCUAAGCACCAUGCUUAAUUUAAAUGCCAAUGGAAGUAUGGCGACUACUUCCAAACCAACACUUGCUAGUAAAUAGACAAAGGUAGCAUGACAGCGUUUAUAGAGAUCUACUCAAGUGGAGAUGAAGUAGUGUGAUUAGUAUUUAACAAAUUGAGCAUGUCUCAAAGGUAGGGACAACCAGCAUAGCAACAUGGCAA